AUUGAACGCUGGCGGCAGGCCUAACACAUGCAAGUCGAACGAGUGGCGGACGGGUGAGUAAUGUCUGGGAAACUGCCUGAUGGAGGGGGAUAACUACUGGAAACGGUAGCUAAUACCGCAUACCAUCAGAUGUGCCCAGAUGGGAUUAGCUAGUUGGUGGGGUAACGGCUCACCAAGGCGACGAUCCCUAGCUGGUCUGAGAGGAUGACCACCCAAACUGGAACUGAGCCACGGUCCAGACCCCUACGGGAGGCAGCAGUGGGGAAUAUUGCGCAAUGGCGGAAAGCCUGCUGCAGCAAUUCAGCGGGUAUGAAGAAGGCCUUCGGGUUGUAAAGUACUUUCAGCGUGGAGGCGUUACCCGCAGAAGAAGCACCGGCUAACUCCGUGCCAGCAGCCGCGGUAAUAC
This 406-nucleotide ribosomal RNA is filed under the name uncultured bacterium. RNAcentral's name for it is "partial 16S ribosomal RNA". It matches the Rfam family "Bacterial small subunit ribosomal RNA", at positions 30 to 526 of the family's 1533-position model. The record is from RNAcentral.